AUGAUCCUUUGCCCAGGCCCAAAACGGUCAUUAGCAGUUACUGUGCGGAUUACAGAGAGAAGAAAAUUUUACAGAACAAAAGAAGAGCGGAAGGAGACUGUCGAUAAAUAUCCGAUAAUCUGGAUCCUCCGAAUUCACCGCGAGGUCUCACUCCAACCAAGUCACACCGCUGGUGAAUCUCGACUGCGAGAGCCUCCAGGCCACAACCUACUCAGAGCCUCUACUCAAAACACUAUCCUCUUCCUUCCCACCUCACCUCCAACGGGCAACUUCCAUCACAGCCAACAUUGUCGCAAUCCGAUCUCAGAUCCGCAGUCGCCAUAA
Molecule: non-coding RNA, 324 nt
Organism: Vicia faba (fava bean)
Lineage: Eukaryota; Viridiplantae; Streptophyta; Magnoliopsida; Fabales; Fabaceae
Source: the annotation of a GenBank genome assembly